CUUUCUUUGCUGGCGACCGGCGCACGGGUGAGUAACACGUAUCCAACCUGCCCUUUACUCGGGGAUAGCCUUUCGAAAGAAAGAUUAAUACCCGAUAGCAUAAUGAUUCCGCAUGGUUUCAUUAUUAAAGGAUUCCGGUAAAGGAUGGGGAUGCGUUCCAUUAGGUCGUUGGUGAGGUAACGGCUCACCAAGCCUUCGAUGGAUAGGGGUUCUGAGAGGAAGGUCCCCCACAUUGGAACUGAGACACGGUCCAA
This 254-nucleotide ribosomal RNA is filed under the name uncultured bacterium. RNAcentral describes it as "partial 16S ribosomal RNA". It matches the Rfam family "Bacterial small subunit ribosomal RNA", at positions 79 to 334 of the family's 1533-position model. The record is from RNAcentral.